Aegilops tauschii subsp. strangulata is the source of this 4450-nucleotide long non-coding RNA. RefSeq lists it as uncharacterized. NCBI's taxonomy places the organism in Eukaryota, Viridiplantae, Streptophyta, Magnoliopsida, Poales, Poaceae. The record is from RefSeq and is a predicted model, not a curated record.
CCUGUAGUGUAUAUAGGGUUACACAUAGACAAGCCAAAUGCCAAAUUGAGAUUGUAAUUGAUGUGAAUCGAGAGUACAAUUCUGUGAAUAGUGUGACUGAACUUGAAUUCAGAUGGUAUUGGGUGAAUAGUGCGACAGGCUAUUAAAUUCAUGUUGUAUAUUUAUGUGAACUGGGAUUGUUACAAAAUAUUGAAUGUGAAUCAAUUAUAAAUUUGGCAUUGUGUGACCUUAUCAUUUGUGAUUGUCUAUGUCUAUGUGUAACAUUAUAAUUUAGCAUUCUGUAACAAUCCAUUUGGCAGACGUCACCGUCAAGAUGGUCACCGGUGACAACCCUAUGUGUUGUCGUCUCUUCUCCGCUGCUGUUUCUGUCCAAACUAAAAACACUAGUACACCAAGGCAAGGCAAGCAGCAGGGAACUUCCAGCAGCAGACUAGUGCAUUGCGAGGCAAGCAGCAGAGCAGUCGAUGGGGUUGGCUUCGUGGCCUCGCAGCUUGUUUGGAGCUCAACCUGCAAAAGAGCAGGACAACCACACCGAGAGAAUGGUCAUGGCGUCCUUUUCGAGUCAGGUUCUUCAAAGUGCUUCAUGGCCCCGUAUCCUUGCUAGCCGGGCGUCGGCGGGUACCUAUAUACCACUACUACUCCCAAAGGAGGAGAUCCCGGGGAAGCUUCCUGUACAUCAACGGAGAUGAACCACGCACCAAUGCCCAAAACUGGAAAAGGCGCGAUGAACCACGCGUUUAUGCGAGCCAUAAUACUAAAUCAACGGAGACACGCGUUUGUCCGGAAAAUUGGUUUGUGAGCCUGUGCUCAGAUGAUCCCUAUAUCUACUAGUAGAAUGACCGUGCGUUGCCACGGGCAUGAAUAUAUUUUUACCGGUUGCAUAUAUAAAUAUAAUGCAUAUAAAAUUUUGCAUGUAUAACAAUGAAGAAGUAAUUGAAAUCCACUUAACAUCCAAUGUAAGUCGAUAAAAAUCUAACAAAACGAUGUGUUCAUAGAGAACAGCCAUCCAGAUAAUUAUCACUUAAAAAUAAGAUCUACCUGAUGUGUUUAAAUCAUUCAAACGAGUUAACAACUAACUGAAAAUAUAAACUGGACAUACAAAAAGAAGUGCAUUUGGGCAAGGCAUUGCGAUGGAUUCAGCGCAUGGUAUCUUCCGCUUAGCUGUGAGGUCUGGUGGUAGGCUUUAUCUGCUUGCUCUUCGGUGGGCAUUCAUCUCUUGCCUCUAUUCAGUUGGUUUAUUUUUACUAGUUUCCCUUCCGAGGCCCAUGAAGGCAGUGUCUUUCUUCACAUGGAAGAUGAAAAAGUGUCACUCUUUUUUGGUUGAACCAUUUCUUCCUUCAGACCAGUUUGGAUAUCGUCCCUACGAUGAGCCAUUGCCCAAUGAUUGAACAAAACACAUAGUUGAGCAAAGAGAAAAGGGUCUGUCUAGGUCUCAGUCGACUUAGACUUCGCGAAGUCUAAGUCGGCUGACAUCAUCAGUUUUUUUUUCUAGAACACGUCAUCCCUUCGUUGCUUGUUGGUUGUCAAGCGAGCCCAUGUCCUCCUCCUUGUUGCUUUUUGGGCUGGCAAUGUCUUCGUGCGUACUGGAGCAGCGUUGGGCCAGCAGCUGCUGCUCAUCUCGAUGUUGCAACAGUCGGGAUAUUAUCAACUCAAAAAAGAAACAGUCAGGAUAUUAGCUGCUGUAGGUGCCAUUUCUCAAAAACAAAAAAAGAUGUUGUAGGUGCCUAAAAAAAAAAGCUCCUGUAGGUACCCCUCAAAAAAGAAAUUUGUUGUACGCACAAAUUUCUUAACGGUUUCUAUCAUUUUUUUGUUUUUAUUUUUCAUUUUUACUUACAUUUUACCAUUAUAUUUAUCAGUUGGGCAAUAAAUUUGUUUUUUCACACAUCUAAAAAAGGUACCACGAAUCGUAUGCAUCAUGUACACGCAUCCACUCCUGCAUAAAAAACAUACGUCUGCAUCAUGUACAUGCAUGCACGGUCGAUCUCCAAAAAAGCGAAUCGCUAUCCCACGUCAUCAUCGAAGGCAUGCAAUUGAAGUCGGGGGCGACACUUGCAGUUGCAACCAUGUUGGAGACAUGCAGUUGCAUUCGAGGGUGACAUUUGCAGUUGCAUGCCUAGUGUUGGACAUGCAAUUGUCCCCCCCCCUAUCUCGCCCCUCACUUACAAAAUGAAUAGGUCAGUUGCAGUCGGGUGUGUAGACAUGCAGUUGUAGUCAAGGGCGAUACUUGCAGUUGCAAGCCUAGUGUCAGACAUGCAAUUUCCUCCUCCCCCCUCUCCCGCUGACUAGCGAGAAAAAAAAGAUUGGUUGCGGUUGGAUGUGUGAACAUGCAGUUGAAGUCGAGGAUGACACUUCAGUUGGAAGCCUAUUGUCGGACAUGCAAUUGCCCCCGCCUCUCCCGCCGCCCUUUGACAAAAAGACAAGGCCAAUUGCAGUCUGAAGGGAGACAUGCAGUUACAGUCGGGGCGACACUUGCAGUUGCAUGUCUAGUAUCGGACAUGCAACUCCUCCUCUCCAACCGUCGGCUUACAAAAACAAAUGUCAGUUGCAGCAGGGGUGUGUGGGCAUGCAGUUGCAGUCGGGGGCGACACUUGCAGUUGCAGGCCUAGUGUUAGCCCCUCGCAUGCCCCCCACCCCCACCCCGUCCAACAAAAUAAUAUCCAGUUGCAACCAUGUUGGAAGACAUGCAGUUGUAGUCGAGGGCGACACUUGCAGCUGCAAGCCUAGAGUCGGACACGCAACCGCCCCCUCUCCUGCCUCUCACUUAUAAAACAAAAGGUCAGUUGCAUUCGGGUGUGUGGGCAUGCAAUUGUAGUCGAGGGCAACACUUGCAUUUGCAAGCCUAGUGUGUCGGACAUGCAACUACCUACCCCCUCUUUCGACACCCACCUACAAAACAAAAGGUCGGUUGCGGUUGGGUGUGUAGACAUGCAGUUGCAGUCGAGGGUGAUACUUGCAAUUGCAAGCCUAGUGUCGGACAUGCAACUACCCACCCCCUCUUUCGAGGCCCACCUACAAAACAAAAGGUCAGUUGCGGUUGGGUGUGUGGACAUGCAGUUGCAGUCAAGGGCGAUACUUGCAGUUGCAAGCCUAGUGUUGGACAUGCAAAUGCCCCCUCCUUCUCUCGCCGCCCUCCGACAAAAACACAAGGCUAGUUGCAUUUGGGAGGCAGACAUGCAAUUGCAAACAGGGGCGACACUUGCAGUUGCAAGGCCUAAUGUUGGACAUGCAACCACCCCCUCUCCCACGGCUGAUUUACAAAACAAAGGCCGGUUGCAGUCGGGUGUGGGCAUGCAGUUGCGUGCCUAGUGGCAAACAUGCAACUGCCUCCCUCCACAAAACACCAUAGAAUUGCGGGCAGGUGUGACACUUGCAAUUGCAUGACUAGUGAAAAACAUGCAACUUCCCCCUUCCCGAUAAAACACUACUGAGUUGCAAUAUCAGUCGGGGACGACACUACACUUGCAUGCCUAUUGGCAGACAUGCAACUACCCCCCCUCCCCUGACAAACACACCACUGAGUUGCAAUCGCGUUGAAGACAUGUAGUUGUAGUUGGGGACCGCACUUGGAGUUGUGUGCCUAGUGGCAGACAUGCAACUAUCCCCUCUCCCGACAAAAAAAGAAAAAAAAAUCAUAUACGCAAAGGUCAGUCCUUCACCAAUUGCAUGUGGAGUGAGACGUGUGUAGUUGUGCAAGGAUAAACGAACAUGCUACAUACAAUCAAUUUUUCCUUCGAGGCUAAAAAUAAAGAAUAAAUAAAAACAUAGUUACACACGAAUACAAUGUGUGUUGAUGACAAAAAUAAACGUGAACAAUUAAUAAUUAAUAAAAUUCAAAAAAAUAAAAAUGAAAAAAAAAACACAAACAUACUUCAAAGAAGAAAUUAUGAGAGAAAAAAGAACAAGAAAAAAUGAGAAGAAUGGAAAUAAUUGAUAAUUUUAAAAGAACAAACAAAAAAAUCAAAAGGAAAACUAUCCUAGAAAUCCAAAAUGAAUUGGCACAAGCCAUUUUGAAAAAAUAAUACAGAAUGUUGCGACCGGAAAAAGGAAAUGCAACACAAAUUUGCACGAAUUGGCGCAUAGAUUAAACGAUUUAUCGCAUUACAAAAUCUUAUACGAGCAAAGUUUGACCCACAACAUGGAGAAAAAUAAAAAAAAUGCAUGGAGGAAAAUAGAAGUGUGCAUUGAUUAUGACAUGCUAGAAGAUAUAGGGAAACAUUGGACACACAUGCUGAUCUAGUAAAAAAACACAACGCUUUGCUCUCUGCACUUUGCACAGUCUAUUUUCAAUCGUAGCCCAACAGAAAAAAACAAAAAGAAACAUGCCGGCCGUGUCAUCCUAACAAGCUGAUUUAAACGUGACAAGCAGCUAGCAUAAAAGAAAAAUCAAGGCAUCGACUGAGACUUCAAUAGAAAUCAGUCGACUGAUUUUUAGUCGUUCCGAAGAGAAAAA